AGUGCUGGGAUUAAAGGUGUGCGCCACUACCACCUGGUUGGCAUAAUACUUUGAUUAGUUGUCUGCUCAGAGUCUCACAAGGGUAAACUCAAAGUGACAGCUGACCCUGGCUCUUUCUUCAAGCUCAUACAGGUCAUUGCUGGCAGAAUUUAGUCCUCGUAGUUGCAAGGCUCCCAUUAACUGCUCUUCCCCGCUUCCACCCCCCCCCUUUUUUUUUUUAAUUUUGUUUUGGAAAAAAAAAAUGUCUUUAUCUUCUCAAGUCAAACCUGGUAGUCCCUGCCUACGGUUCCAACAUCUGUGAGCCUGUGAAGUGAAAAUGGGGAAACGAAGGGAGAAGUUUUCAGAUCGAAGCCCAUACUUGGCCAAGGGUCUGAUCCUAGAAGAAAUGACAAUCCCAGACCUCAAAUGCAGCUUCUUAGAAAAAAAAAAGGUGCUUGAACUGUCGCUGGCUGGAGAUCACCAACAACAAGGAGAGCAGGGACUCAUGUUCCACCCAACCAGGCCAAGCUCUUUGACCCAGUGAUGUCAUCUAUGAUGUCACUACCGCCUCAUCGGCACUGCCUGUUUUUGGUCUGAAUGAGAUGUGCCUUAUAAGUCCCAAGCCUGUGACUACUGGGCUCACAGUUGGUGGCUGUUGGAGGAGAAUUAGAAGGGAAAUAUAGCUAACGAUGGGACUGCUGGUGAUGAACGCCCAAACUGCAGGACUGGGGGAUGGCUCACUGGAGAAAUCAGUUGUCAGACAGAGUCCAGAUCACUGGGAUGGAUAUAGGAUGUGGUAACCUGCAAUCCCAGCCAUGAGUCUGAAGACUGACUGUAAAUUGAAGGCCUGCCUGAGACACAAAAAAAAAACAGUGGGACAAACAGCCACGUGUCUUUAGUGAGCAACCUGUACAUUCCGCCUACCAACAAGGCGAGAGCGAUCCUGUUGGAGCCACAGAAGGCACCGAAUUCUUCAGAGCAUCAAUGACUGUGUGAAAAAGCCUUGACUCGGUAUCAGUGGAAACAAUUCUCAUUAAUGUUGCCUAACAUUUUUGUAGAUGAAUGUUGACAAAAUUAAAGACUCUGAGGGCUGCUGAAUAAAUCUGGGGUUGCCUAAGAUCUGGAAUAGGCAGACGUUAUUAUACACAACACCUUCCUGGUGUGAAAAGGAAAUAAGGCAGUUUACAGUGGAAGGAUUUCCUUGCUUUCCCCCUCCUCCUCAGGAGAGGGGUACAAUCAGUGUUUAUUUAAUCAAAUGUGUUAACUUUUUAAAAAAUAAAUUCACUGUAUUAUAAAUAUAAAUUCAUUUAUUGCAUGUAUAAAUCCCGCUUUAAGUGUUUUGGAGUCACAAUGUGUGUUGAGCACUUUUUAAGUCUCUCUCCUUGACAUUGAAGACAAAAGUUCUCUCUCUCUCUCUCUCUCUCUCUCUCUCUCU
This is a long non-coding RNA of Mus musculus (house mouse), 1414 nucleotides long. RefSeq annotates it as predicted gene, 33363. The record is from RefSeq and is a predicted model, not a curated record. NCBI's taxonomy places the organism in Eukaryota, Metazoa, Chordata, Mammalia, Rodentia, Muridae. The transcript has 4 exons.